Long non-coding RNA from Camelina sativa (false flax), 234 nucleotides. RefSeq lists it as uncharacterized. The record is from RefSeq and is a predicted model, not a curated record. NCBI's taxonomy places the organism in Eukaryota, Viridiplantae, Streptophyta, Magnoliopsida, Brassicales, Brassicaceae.
ACUGAGUCAUCAACAAGCUCAAAGAGACUCUCACCAAAAGUUUCACAAGGUCUGGGGACAACUGAUGAAAACCGGCUACCAGAGUUCUCGAUUUGCUCAUCAGGUGGAGAGAUUUGCAUGCCUGUACACAAGCCAAGUCUCAAACAUGCGCUUGUACUCACCAGACAAGUAUUACAGACCCAGUGAAGACUUCAUGUCCCAUGAAUUUCACCUUCUUCCUCUCUGAUUCAUCCC